GUUUUUACACAAUUUCGGUUUUAUUUGUUUACUUCUUGUUCCAGGUCACUUUUGAUGGUGUAAGAUGAUAGUUCAGAUUUUUUAAAAUUUUUUACGUUCCUAAAAAUUCAAAUGUUGUGGACUUUUCAAUGAUUUAAAUUGUGCCGAAUAUUUCAACACUUUUUCCAUAUUUAAUUUGGAUAUUUUUUAAAUACUACUCAGGCUAGAGCUGUUUUAAUAUUGUGGAUAUUUGUUUAAGUAUUUAUCAAGUCAGAAUAUAUAAGGCAUUCCAGCCUAGCUCCAUUUUUUCGAGGGGUCAAUUUCGAAAUGAAAUCCGUUACGGUACGUAAAAUUGCCGUGACGUCACGGCCGCCAUCAUGGACCAGGGACCUUGAUCGGCUCCGCUGUCUCCUCGAUACAAAUGUAGAGGGACGAAAUAGGGAAGCAGGAAGACCACCACCACCACCACCAUCACCACCAGCAGUGUGGAAGAAAGUUUAGAGCAACGGCAACCCUCUGAUCCGGCAAGCAAGUUGGCGGCAGCGAUGGCGGUGGCGGCGGCAGUGGUGGUGAGGUGGACGGCAGGGACAGAGGGGCAGUACAGGCUGCGGACAUCAAGGAGAAGAGGAACGCACGGACAAGCAAGGUGUUAUUCGGCAGUCUGAUCCUGGACCUGCUAGGCUUGAAGGUGGUGCUGCCCGUGUCUUCUGCUCUCCUCGACUGUUACUCCAAGCACAACACCAGCGGCUUGUAUUCCUCUCAGCUCUCCUGUGUGACUUAUUCGCGGCCUCGGCUGUCUACGCACGCACUCUCACUGUGGCUAACAUAAUAUUCUUUGCUGUCUUCUUCCAGGAAUCGCUGCCUGAGGGCAGAAGGAGGAGGGACAUCGGUGCCAGUUUGACCGAGGCUUGGGAGGUGAUCAAUCCUAGGGCUCUGUUCUCCGUCAGCUGUGUCAAGGGCCUGGGCAGAGAAGGCACCGAGAGGCUCUGGAGAAGUUUGGAAGGGGACUAC
Long non-coding RNA from Scylla paramamosain (green mud crab), 990 nucleotides. RefSeq lists it as uncharacterized. Lineage: Eukaryota; Metazoa; Arthropoda; Malacostraca; Decapoda; Portunidae. The transcript has 6 exons. The record is from RefSeq and is a predicted model, not a curated record.